UAACAUAAGCUAACAUCGCAAUUAAAAUAACACUACCAAAAAUGCUAGACAACAUUAAAGCAAAUGAAAAUGCUAAACCUAAGACUACACAAACAAUUAUCUAAACACAACUAAAGCUAUUAAAAUGCAACACUUGAUUAAAAAAUUGAAAAACCAUUAAACAUGUAAUGUAAAAGAUUUUAGGACAAAAGAAAUAAAAAAAAACAAAUUAAUAUAUGGAAUAUAAAGAUGCAUAUUGGGUCAAGCGUGUAGAAAGAAAAAAAAUAUAGAAACCUUUUUGGAGCAAACCGUGUAAGCCUUUUCCCUUGCUGGCCAU
RNAcentral lists this long non-coding RNA (316 nucleotides) under Vigna radiata. Its description in RNAcentral is "long non-coding RNA (VRAD_LNC008486)". Lineage: Eukaryota; Viridiplantae; Streptophyta; Magnoliopsida; Fabales; Fabaceae. The record is from RNAcentral.